Molecule: ribosomal RNA, 18 nt
Filed under: Trichoderma harzianum
Lineage: Eukaryota; Fungi; Ascomycota; Sordariomycetes; Hypocreales; Hypocreaceae
Also listed under: 7 other names
Description: partial 28S ribosomal RNA
Source: RNAcentral
UUGACCUCGGAUCAGUAG